GGUGGGCACGUCUAAGGAGACUGCCGGUGACAACCGGAGGAAGUGGGGAUGACGUCAAGUCAUCAUGGCCCUUACGGCCUGGGCUACACACGUGCUACAAUGGUCGGUACAAAGGGUUGCCAAGCCGCGAGGUGGAGCUAAUCCCAUAAACCGAUCGUAGUCCGGAUCGCAGUCUGCAACUCGACUGCGUGAAGUCGGAAUCGCUAGUAAUCGCGCAUCAGCCAUGGCGCGGUGAAUACGUUCCCGGGCCUU
RNAcentral lists this ribosomal RNA (252 nucleotides) under uncultured Pseudomonas sp. Its description in RNAcentral is "partial 16S ribosomal RNA". It matches the Rfam family "Bacterial small subunit ribosomal RNA", at positions 1130 to 1382 of the family's 1533-position model. Lineage: Bacteria; Pseudomonadati; Pseudomonadota; Gammaproteobacteria; Pseudomonadales; Pseudomonadaceae. The record is from RNAcentral.